UAAACAUUGGUGCAUGGAGAGGAUUCUCUUAGUUACUGGAUGAAAAUAAAACCUUGCCAUAUGAGCAGUUUAACAAAGUUCGCAUUUUAUACUUCAAGAACAUGAGAAUCAGGGAGAUAACAUAGCUGUCUCAAGCAUCCGAAAAACCAACAAUGUAGCGGAAGAAAAACACGGAUUCUGUGUGGCCCAGCAAGGCACGUGAAAACCGAAGGAUAGAAAUUACAGUGGAGAAAGAGAGGAAUGCUGGGAACACCCUCGGCGGAAGAAUGCGGGGAACGCUCGUCCGAGAGAGGCAUUCUGGGAACACAGAGAAACAAGACCGGAGCGUGCUGCCAGGGAGGAAUCCUGGGAAUAUGAUUUAAAAGAGGGGGACGCCCGGAACCUACGUCCGAGGAAGAGGCGGAUGCCUCAACGCUGCAUCAGAGAGGGAAACCAAAAACCUUCUUUCAGAGACAGACGUGGGGUGGGGUUAGGGUGGAUUCCGGAACACUCCCACAGGGAUGCCGGGAACCUCCGUCAGAGAGAGGGGGAUGCUGGGAACAGCCUCAGAGGAACAGAUGCCAGCCACACCCAUCAGCGCGUUCUGGGAGCAGGUCGUCAGAAAUGCUGGGAACACCUCUCUGGGAGAGGCAUGCUGGGAUCACGUCGUCCGAGUGAAGAAGGCCGGAAAUGUGAGGUCCAGUCUCAUGAACUCCGCAGUGAAUUCCUUUCCAUGGUUCCAGCUUGCUAAAGAGAAAUGAAAAGGACGCAAGUCACGCAGCUGGGCACUAAACGUGUAAGUAUUGAACUCUCUCUGUAUGCAUAGUCUUCGGACUGGAUGCAAGGGAAGGUAUCGUAACCACUCUACAUAGGGAGGAUAAAUUCAACCCAUAUAUAUUCCAGAUAUCUUCAGACACACACUACAAGAGUAUGAAAAUGUUUAUAACUUACAAAAUGAGGCUCCCUGAGUAGAGAAGAACAGACUGCCCAAGCUGGUAUGAAAUAGCUUGAGUGGGCAAGGAAGUAACGCUGGCUUGGGGUUUGUAUGAGGAUGAAGUGGUGGGGUCCAAGUGAUAGGUCCUGGGUAUGAACAGGACUUUAAUAAUUUGAGUUUUUCUGCUGGCACAAAAGGAGGGAUCACCUGGCUUUUCUUAGCAGUGUGUUCUGAUGUGGGGUAGAAUAAGGACAAAGUAAGAGUGAGGUUUAAAAGCUGCCAGGAAUCAAAGAUAAAUAAAUUCAGUCAAACUUUAUUACA
This 1234-nucleotide long non-coding RNA is filed under the name Felis catus (domestic cat). RNAcentral describes it as "lncRNA (ENSFCAG00000051994.1)". The record is from RNAcentral. Lineage: Eukaryota; Metazoa; Chordata; Mammalia; Carnivora; Felidae.